UACAGAGGGUGCUAGCGUUGUUCGGAAUUACUGGGCGUAAAGCGCGUGUAGGCGGAUAGAGGAGUCGGGUGUGAAAGCCCUGGGCUUAACCCAGGAAUUGCGCCUGAAACCAUCUGUCUGGAGUGCAAUAGGGGAGCGGGGAAUUCCCGGUGUAGAGGUGAAAUUCGUAGAUAUCGGGAGGAACACCAGUGGCGAAGGCGCCGCUCUAGGUUGCAACUGACGCUAAAACGCGAAAGCUUGGGUAGCAAACAGG
This 253-nucleotide ribosomal RNA is filed under the name uncultured bacterium. RNAcentral describes it as "partial 16S ribosomal RNA". It matches the Rfam family "Bacterial small subunit ribosomal RNA", at positions 524 to 776 of the family's 1533-position model. The record is from RNAcentral.